GGAGGUAUGGCUCAAGUGGUAGAGUGCCAGCCUUGAGCUGGCAAGUGUGGGAUGCCCUGGGUUCAAGUCCCGGUACUGGCA
Molecule: transfer RNA, 81 nt
Filed under: Dipodomys ordii (Ord's kangaroo rat)
Lineage: Eukaryota; Metazoa; Chordata; Mammalia; Rodentia; Heteromyidae
Rfam family: tRNA
About the family: Transfer RNA (tRNA) molecules are approximately 80 nucleotides in length. Their secondary structure includes four short double-helical elements and three loops (D, anti-codon, and T loops).
Source: Rfam by way of RNAcentral